CUACGGGCCGCUGCAGUGGGGAAUAUUGGACAAUGGGGGGAACCCUGAUCCAGCCAUGCCGCGUGUGUGAAGAAGGCCUUUUGGUUGUAAAGCACUUUAAGCAGUGAAGAAGACUCCUCGGUUAAUACCCGGGGACGAUGACAUUAGCUGCAGAAUAAGCACCGGCUAACUCUGUGCCAGCAGCCGCGGUAAUACAGAGGGUGCAAGCGUUAAUCGGAAUUACUGGGCGUAAAGCGAGCGUAGGUGGCUUGAUAAGUCAGAUGUGAAAUCCCCGGGCUUAACCUGGGAACUGCAUCUGAAACUGUUAGGCUGGAGUAGGGGAGAGGGAAGUAGAAUUUCAGGUGUAGCGGUGAAAUGCGUAGAGAUCUGAAGGAAGACCGAUGGCGAAGGCAGCUUCCUGGCAUCAUACUGACACUGAGGCUCGAAAGCGUGGGUAGCAAACAGGAUUAGAUACCCUGGUAGUC
RNAcentral lists this ribosomal RNA (464 nucleotides) under uncultured bacterium. RNAcentral's name for it is "partial 16S ribosomal RNA". It matches the Rfam family "Bacterial small subunit ribosomal RNA", at positions 339 to 795 of the family's 1533-position model. The record is from RNAcentral.